AAAAUUGCCUUGGCUGAAACAAGCACAAGAACUAGAAGAGACCAGAAUAGCAACAGAAGAACCAACGUUCAUUCCAGAACCCUGGUCAGCCUGCAGUACCACGUGUGGGCCGGGUGUGCAGGUCCGUGAGGUGAAGUGCCGUGUGCUCCUCACAUUCACGCAGACUGAGACUGAGCUGCCCGAGGAAGAGUGUGAAGGCCCCAAGCUGCCCACCGAACGGCCCUGCCUCCUGGAAGCAUGUGAUGAGAGCCCGGCCUCCCGAGAGCUAGACAUCCCUCUCCCUGAGGACAGUGAGACGACUUACGACUGGGAGUACGCUGGGUUCACCCCUUGCACAGCAACAUGCGUGGGAGGCCAUCAAGAAGCCAUAGCAGUGUGCUUACAUAUCCAGACCCAGCAGACAGUCAAUGACAGCUUGUGUGAUAUGGUCCACCGUCCUCCAGCCAUGAGCCAGGCCUGUAACACAGAGCCCUGUCCCCCCAGGAGAGAGCCAGCAGCUUGUAGAAGCAUGCUGGGUUACAUAAUGGUCCUGCUAGUCUGAGGAGAGCCUUCUUCUCUAACAGGAUUCAACACUGCUAGGGAAGAAAGGAGGAAAGCAAGAGGCAAUAGUGAUGUGUUUCUGUACCAGCUUGUUACCUAUUUCUUGAUAUAAAAAACAAUUCUUUAUUGAGUUCAUUGUCUGUGAAUAAGAA
RNAcentral lists this long non-coding RNA (692 nucleotides) under Homo sapiens (human). RNAcentral's name for it is "HSALNT0223742". Lineage: Eukaryota; Metazoa; Chordata; Mammalia; Primates; Hominidae. The record is from RNAcentral.